CUGCAACAGUGAACACACUCGAACAUCUACAUUUAUGAUAGCAGCUACUCUGUCAAUACCCAUGAUGAAGAAACUGAUAAUUACGAUACAGAGAAAUUCUGCACUUGAAGAGAUCAAAAGGAAAGGCAGAUGGACAUAAGCAGACUAUAGUGCAUAAGAGAGUGCUGAGG
Molecule: long non-coding RNA, 170 nt
Organism: Protopterus annectens (West African lungfish)
Lineage: Eukaryota; Metazoa; Chordata; Ceratodontiformes; Protopteridae
Exons: 3
Source: RefSeq, a predicted model, not a curated record